This 244-nucleotide long non-coding RNA is filed under the name Mytilus galloprovincialis (Mediterranean mussel). The record is from RNAcentral. Lineage: Eukaryota; Metazoa; Mollusca; Bivalvia; Mytilida; Mytilidae.
CUGGAAUGUUCUGUGAAAAUUCAAAGUUUUGACCUUUUUGCAUUGUUUCAAUGGUAACAACAGAUAUUUUGGAAAUUCCAACGCCAAAUUCCACAUGUUUCAAUGUUGCUCAUCGUUACUGUGAAGUUUCAUUAAGUUUUGAGCAUUUUGAUACUUUUGAAAUUUUUGGUGCAGUUUCCAUGGCAACAUAGUAGUUCCAAUGAGUACCAAAAUCAUCCAACACCUGUAUAUAGUGGGCACCUAC